RNAcentral lists this ribosomal RNA (258 nucleotides) under uncultured bacterium. Its description in RNAcentral is "partial 16S ribosomal RNA". It matches the Rfam family "Bacterial small subunit ribosomal RNA", at positions 96 to 354 of the family's 1533-position model. The record is from RNAcentral.
CGGCGGACGGGUGAGUAACGCGUGGGCAACCUGCCUUACACAGGGGGAUAACAGUUAGGAAUGACUGCUAAUACCGCAUAAGACCGCAGUACCGCAUGGUACAGCGGUAAAAACUCCGGUGGUGUAAGAUGGGCCCGCGUCUGAUUAGGUAGUUGGCGGGGUAACGGCCCACCAAGCCGACGAUCAGUAGCCGACCUGAGAGGGUGACCGGCCACAUUGGGACUGAGACACGGCCCAGACUCCUACGGGAGGCAGCAG